Long non-coding RNA from Drosophila elegans, 839 nucleotides. RefSeq lists it as uncharacterized. The transcript is spliced from 3 exons. Lineage: Eukaryota; Metazoa; Arthropoda; Insecta; Diptera; Drosophilidae. The record is from RefSeq and is a predicted model, not a curated record.
AAAAUUAUUUUUUGCAGAAACCUAAGUUUACAGCUGUAUCAACCAUUGUUGCCAUUUUAGCUUAUUUCAAGCUAGAUUUAGCAUAUUUUAAAAUGAAAUAGCUUGAAAAAUACUUGAAAUGCAUAUAGCUUAAAAUCUGGCUUAUUUCAAAUUUCAUUUAGCUAAUUUCGGCUAAAAAAAAUUUAUAACAAAAAAGGAGGAAAAAAGAAGGAAAUCAAAGACGAAAAAUAUUUUGAUGAAAAAUAUAAAAUCAGAGAAGAUUGUAAAAACUUCAUCAAGGCUUUAAUUAUUCAACUAAGGGAGAGACUUCCUGAUAACAUUGAAGUACUAAAACAAAUGGAUAUUUUCGCCGUUGACAAUAUGCUAAAAGCAAAUAAAACGCCAGAUAAAAUUAUUUCGUUGUUGGAACAUUUCAAAUAUGAAAAUAUUGAUGAAAUAGUAUCCCAAUUUGGAAAAAUCCACCUUAUUAAUUGGGAAAAAAAGGAAAUAACUAUAGAGUUUUGGUCAGAAGUUUUGAUGUAUAAGGAUGCUGGCCAAAACAAAGCUUUCGAGCAACUGGCGUUAUUUGCUUUGCACAUUCUUUCACUGCCAUGGUCGAAUGCUGCGGUUGAGAGGGUAUUCAGCCAAAUGAACAUGGUCAAAACAAAGUUGCGCAACAAAAUGAAUUUAAAGAUAUGGACUGCGACGUCAAUGCAAAUGUUGCCAUGGCUACAUACUUCCAACGAAAUACCUCGCUUUAGUCAGCUCAUCCGCUAAAUAUAUGGAAUCGAAUGAUGAAGUCGAUGAAAUUAUUUCUUUGCUCUAAUAGCUAUAUAAAUAUAAUAUCAAUAAAAGUAAAA